CCAGACUCCUACGGGAGGCAGCAGUGGGGAAUAUUGGGCAAUGGAGGCAACUCUGACCCAGCAACGCCGCGUGAGUGAUGAAGGUCUUCGGAUUGUAAAACUCUUUAAGUGGGGACGAAGAAAGUGACUGUACCCACAGAAUAAGCCUCGGCUAACUACGUGCCAGCAGCCGCGGUAAUACGUAGGGGGCAAGCGUUAUCCGGAUUUACUGGGUGUAAAGGGAGCGUAGACGGUGAAGCAAGUCUGAAGUGAAAGGCGGGGGCUCAACCCCCGGACUGCUUUGGAAACUGUUUGACUGGAGUGCAGGAGAGGUAAGUGGAAUUCCUAGUGUAGCGGUGAAAUGCGUAGAUAUUAGGAGGAACACCAGUGGCGAAGGCGGCUUUCUGGACUGUACCUGACGCUGAGGCGCGAAAGCGUGGGUAGCGAACGGGAUUAGAUACCCCUGUAAG
RNAcentral lists this ribosomal RNA (449 nucleotides) under uncultured bacterium. Its description in RNAcentral is "bacterial SSU rRNA". It matches the Rfam family "Bacterial small subunit ribosomal RNA", at positions 331 to 793 of the family's 1533-position model. The record is from RNAcentral.